GACGAACGCUGGCGGCGUGCUUAACACAUGCAAGUCGAACGGAAAGGCCUUUUCGGAGGUACUCGAGUGGCGAACGGGUGAGUAACACGUGGGUGAUCUGCCCUGCACUCUGGGAUAAGCCUGGGAAACUGGGUCUAAUACCGGAUAGGACCGCACUCUAGUGUGUGUGGUGGAAAGUUUUUUCGGUGUAGGAUGAGCCCGCGGCCUACCAGCUUGUUGGUGGGGUAAUGGCCUACCAAGGCGGCGACGGGUAGCCGGACUGAGAGGUUGGUCGGCCACAUUGGGACUGGGAUACGGCCCAGACUCCGACGGGAGGCAGCAGUGGGGAAUGUUGCUCAAUGGGCGCAGGCCUGAUGCAGCGGCGCCGCGUGGGGGAUGACGGACUUCGGGUUGUAAACUCCUUUCGCCAGGGACGAAGCGGUUUGUGACGGUACCUGGAGAAGAAGCACCGGCUAACUACGUG
This 463-nucleotide ribosomal RNA is filed under the name uncultured bacterium. Its description in RNAcentral is "partial 16S ribosomal RNA". It matches the Rfam family "Bacterial small subunit ribosomal RNA", at positions 28 to 507 of the family's 1533-position model. The record is from RNAcentral.